Molecule: ribosomal RNA, 492 nt
Filed under: uncultured bacterium
Lineage: Bacteria
Description: partial 16S ribosomal RNA
Rfam family: Bacterial small subunit ribosomal RNA
Source: RNAcentral
AGUGAACGCUGGCGGUAGGCCUAACACGUGCAAGUCGAACGGCAGCACAGUAAGAGCUUGCUCUUACGGGUGGCGAGUGGCGGACGGGUGAGGAAUACAUCGGAAUCUACUUUUUCGUAGGGGAUAACGUAGGGAAACUUACGCUAAUACCGCAUACGACCUACGGGUGAAAGCAGGGGAUCUUCGGACCUUGCGCGAUUGAAUGAGCCGAUGUCGGAUUAGCUAGUUGGCGGGGUAAAGGCCCACCAAGGCGACGAUCCGUAGCUGGUCUGAGAGGAUGAUCAGCCACACUGGAACUGAGACACGGUCCAGACUCCUACGGGAGGCAGCAGUGGGGAAUAUUGGACAAUGGGCGCAAGCCUGAUCCAGCCAUACCGCGUGGGUGAAGAAGGCCUUCGGGUUGUAAAGCCCUUUUGUUGGGAAAGAAAAGCAGCAGGUUAAUACCCCGCUGUCCUGACGGUACCCAAAGAAUAAGCACCGGCUAACUUCGUG